UGGGGAAUAUUGCACAAUGGGCGGAAGCCUGAUGCAGCGACGCCGCGUGGGGGAUGAAGGCCUUCGGGUUGUAAACUCCUUUCGACAGGGACGAAGCUUUUGUGACGGUACCUGUAUAAGAAGCACCGGCUAACUACGUGCCAGCAGCCGCGGUAAUACGUAGGGUGCGGGCGUUGUCCGGAAUUACUGGGCGUAAAGAGCUCGUAGGUGGUUUGUCGCGUCGUCUGUGAAAUUCCGGGGCUUAACUCCGGGCGUGCAGGCGAUACGGGCUGACUUGAGUGCUGUAGGGGAGACUGGAAUUCCUGGUGUAGCGGUGAAAUGCGCAGAUAUCAGGAGGAAAACCGAUGGCGAAGGCAGGUCUCUGGGCAGUAACUGACGCUGAGGAGCGAAAGCAUGGGUAGCGAACAGG
RNAcentral lists this ribosomal RNA (409 nucleotides) under Actinomycetes bacterium. RNAcentral's name for it is "Actinobacteria bacterium partial 16S ribosomal RNA". It matches the Rfam family "Bacterial small subunit ribosomal RNA", at positions 355 to 776 of the family's 1533-position model. Lineage: Bacteria; Bacillati; Actinomycetota; Actinomycetes. The record is from RNAcentral.